CAGCAGCCGCGGUAACACCAGCAGCCCAAGUGGUGGUCGCGAUUAUUGGGCCUAAAGCGCUCGUAGCCGGGCCGGUAAGUCCCUUGUGAAAUCGGACGGCCUAACCGUUCGGCGUGCAAGGGAUACUGUCGGUCUUGAGGCCGGGAGACGUCCGAGGUACUCCGGGGGUAGCGGUGGAAUGUUCUGAUCCUCGGGGGACCACCGGUGGCGAAGGCGUUCGACGAGAACGGGCCUGACGGUGAGGGGCGAAGGCUAGGGGAGCAAACGGGAUUAGAUACCCGCGUAGUCCCUGUCUCUUAUA
Molecule: ribosomal RNA, 301 nt
Filed under: uncultured bacterium
Lineage: Bacteria
Description: partial 16S ribosomal RNA
Rfam family: Archaeal small subunit ribosomal RNA
Source: RNAcentral